Mirounga angustirostris (Northern elephant seal) is the source of this 5329-nucleotide long non-coding RNA. RefSeq lists it as uncharacterized. NCBI's taxonomy places the organism in Eukaryota, Metazoa, Chordata, Mammalia, Carnivora, Phocidae. The record is from RefSeq and is a predicted model, not a curated record. The transcript has 8 exons.
UACUUGAAGAAAUAGUAGGGGAACAUGUUAUAAGUCUGAUUCACCACAGAACCUCACAGAUCCAAGGAGAGCAACGAAACUCAAGCACAAGAAAAUGAAACACAUGUUAGACAGAUUCCUCUCAGCCAGGGCUAAAGAGAAAAUCUUGAAAGCAGCACGGGGAAGAAGACGCUUUGGAGAGCCUCUGGGGGACGAGACAUAGGAGGGCUUUGCCCACAGAGCACGGGGGGCUGGCCAGGCCAUGCGUCACGUGCCCAAAACCCGCGUGGCAGCUGGACAGUGCCCACCGGUAGCCAGAGCAGCAACGUGCUGAAAGGGGAAGAAACAGAAAACCCCACCACCCAAAAUUCUUUACCCGGUGACCAUAUCUUAAAAAAACAAAACUGAAGGUAAAAUGAAGACUGUUUCAGACGUCCAAAGGGGAAAGCAUCUGUCACUAGCGGCCUUGCACUAGGAGAACUGUUAAGGGCGGAACUCGCAGCAGAAGGAGGAUGACAGCAGAUGGGAAUCCGGAUCCUUGCAAGAAAGAGAUGGGCACCAGAAAGAGCAGGUGUGUGAGUUAUAACUGCUCUCCCAUGGUGGGCGUAGCUCCCUUCUGGUACCACAUCUGCAGUCAUGGCAGGGAAGCGUAGGUCCCGAUGCUAGGCCUGGACAUAAACACGCCCGUGACACGUGGUACCAGAAGUUUCUGAGCAGUGGGAGAGGACCAAGGUUUUAAAAUGUAUGUGCCACAGCUGGCCUGGGAGUAUGUUUUCCACCCGUCAGAUGUAUAAAAUAUAAGUGGAGGGUUCUGUUCCCUUCGACAAGUGCUCAAAUGGAAAUUUUCUACAUUUAGUCCUAUAACUGAUGUAGCCAUGUUUAUAGUUACAAAUGUAACAUAUUUUUAUAUGUGCAAUUUCUGAGAAAGAAUUUUAUCAUAAUGGUGUUUGUAGGGCACCAACCUGUAGCAAUUCUAUGAAUAUCUAAUAUAACCUUGUGUGGAUCUGCUAAUUAUAUACAUAUCCCAACAUUUCAAACUGCAUCAGGAUAUCUGACAGGGUUUUUUUUUUUUUUUUUUUUUUUCUGAUGAAGUCUCGUACUUCUAGAAAAAAAGAGCCUUGCAAAAGCACCAUCAAUGCAGUUAAGCUGAGGAAGCAAGAGUUCUAGCAACAGAACUCCUACACAUACCCACCAACAGAUGAUUGUAUGCAGCAGAAGAGUAACUUGAUUCGACGUUAUGUAGUUCAGUACAACAGGGCGGCAAUUUAAAGUGCUUUUGGAUUACUCUUGUGCAGGCUUUAAUUUCAGAUUAAUUUUCUAAAUUAUCAAUAAUUAAAAACAAAUGACAGCCGUAGUGAGGAAUAGCUGAAUUAUCUUUUUAUUUUCUCUAUCGAAAACUACAUUAUGAGAGCUUCAUCAUAGGAAGAGAAGAUCCAGUGUAUUCAGCCAGAAACUGUAGGAAAGAAAGAAUAUUCCAAAGGGUAUUAGAAAUUUAGUAAUAAGAUAUUAUGUUAUUUUCUGGAAUUUAUGAUACAUUUGUCAGUUUUUAAAAAUUGAUAAUUUGCUUUUAUCUUAUUUUCUAAGUGCACAUUUAUUUUUAUAUGCCAUUUUGCAUUUGUUAUUUUGAUUAUAUUUCUUAGGACUUGACUUUAAUUGGAUAAUCUUUCAGCCCCACAAAACCUGUAUCUCUACAACACAGCCCCAGUAGGCAUUAAACUUUGGUGUGCUAUCUCCCUGUACGUAUUUUAAAAUGUAGCUCUUACGUUAGACACUCUUUUUUUUUUUUUUAAAGAUUUUAUUGAUUUAUUUGACAGAGAGAGACACAGUGAGAGAGCGAGCACAAGCAGAGGGAGUGGGAGAGGGAGAAGCAGGCUUCCCGCGGAGCAGGGAGCCCGAUGCGGGGCUCGAUCCCAGGACCCUGGGAUCAUGACCUGAACCGAAGGCAGACGCUUAACCAUCUGAGCCACCCAGGCGCCCCCGUUAGACACUUUUGAUGGAGGUUUUAUUGUCUCUCUUCCUCAGCCAUGAUCAUGCUUUCCUCGGAUAAUGCAGGUGUCUUCUGGAGCUCUGGGUCCUUUGGAAAGGGAGACAGAGAACUUAAGUGGGAGGGGCCGAGGGAGAGAGGGAGAGCAUCCGAAACAGACUCCGCACUGAGCGCAGAGCCCAAAAAGGGGCUCGAACUCGUGACCCUGAGAUCAUGACCUGAGCCAAAAGCAAGUCAGAGGCGUAACCAACUGCACCCCCCAGGCACCCCUUGAACACGUUCUGAUGAGCCGGUUACAAAGCCCAAAGGAGACACAUCUUGUGUGACGGGUAGGUUCGUGCCUGCAUUUCCCAGGAACACACAGGUACAGAAGAGAAUACUUAUCAUCACUUCUUCUACCAGAUACGAGUUCUGAGGCUGCUACUCAAUACUCUUAACCCUGUGUUGUUUGAAAGGAACACCUUGGUCUGUUUGGACAUUCAUUUGUAGUUAAAGAGACGACAUUUGUAUUUCAUUUAUUUGGAGCUAGGGAUUUCUGUAGGUGGCAUACAACUGCAUAGAUGUGUCUGUUCAUUAUUUAUGUAAGUGAAUCAUUUCUCCUGCUGCCCAUUGCUAACUGAACGUAAUUUGGAGAAUGAAGCAACCUUUGGGCAGGUUAAAAUAGAACCAGAAAACAGUUCUCUUGUGGUUCACACGGACUUCUUGCUCGUCUCUUAGUGGGUCUGUUUAUUUAGGAUGACUGUGAACCAACAUCGGAUAAUGUUUACUAUGUACUCCACCCUCUCGCUGCUCCCAUCCCAGCCUACAUAGACUGAAUGGCUAUUGGAGAAUUUGACACCGGGAGAACUACUACUUUCCAACUAUGAUGUGUACAGGGGAUUUUUAAAAAUGGAGAAAAGUCUAGUUUAUGCAAAAAUUGCUUCACCAUCUGCUUGCCCUUGUGCCCGAAAUUACUGCAAUGGGUAUUACAUAAAUGGUAAGACUUUGUGUAUUUAUUUCUAAGCAAAAUAUCCAUCACUGACCCAACAGUUUAUCCAUUUAGCCAGCAGAAACCAGAAUGAUUCCAUACUUUUAUACCUAGUGUCUUAACUCAGUAUAAAGAAGGAGUUUAGAACAGGUGCUUUGCUUUUAAAAGGUCGUGAUUUAAUCUACAGACCUAACCUUGUAUACACUUGUGCUUUCUCAUAUGAUGAAAUCCCUUUCUAUCAGUUCCUCCUGACUUUGGCUUUGAUUACUCAACUCCAUGUGACUUUGGAUCUUGCCUUGACUCAUUUUUGUCUAAAUAUCAGUAAUUUCCUCUGUCCCAAAAGUCAAUUCUCCAAGAACAUUUUAACUUGUUUUCUGGCCUUGAUUUUGAUGAUUUGGCUCUCUUUUCUAUAAUAUCAGAGAUUAAAAAAAAACAAAAAAACAAAAAACUGUAGCUAGGACAGCUUCCUCCUCUGACACCUGGAGUUUUGCAAGUUUAUGGAUGCAAUGAGAAAUGGAGAGAGAGAUUUUAAUUCAGAAGACGUCAGGGGGAAAUGAAUGGCUUGGAGAACACUAGUGGUAUGUCAACAGAGAAAGAUUGUUCAUCCUUGGGAGAAGGUAGGAAUCCAGAAUACAUUUUGUCAGUUUGGUUAUUGCCAGGUAGAGACCUAGCCCUAAGUGGGUACUGACCCUGUGGAGUCCAGACUCCCCCAUGUGCUAAGCCCAGGCUUGGAGGAUUUCUACAGGGUUUGCCAGAUGUUUCCAAGUAGGUGAUUCCUACCAGUAAAUAUCGCAACUCUGCCCCAACUGCUUGUAAGGGAGUCACCCACAGUGUUUGUCUCUUUUUAAUUUGCUUGGAGACCCUAACCUCCCUAAAGCAGUCCCCCUCACUGGUGGUCUCUGGGCUUUGGGAGCCUCUGAGCGUCUCCACAGUCUGCAUAGUUUUGAAGCAAGAAUAAGAGCCUUCCUUGCUCCUUCCUCUCAGCCCAAGUGUCUUCCCUUUUGUGAGAAUCUUGACCUGUUGUUGGGUAUAGAUCAGGACUUCCUCCUCUUUGUCAAGGUUCGUAUGUGUCUCUAGCCACAUCGUAGUUAUUCCUUGCUUACCUGUGUGCCCCAGGUCUACCACACCAUCGGAAAUGAGUGCUGUAUUCAUUUCCAAAGCCUUCCUGACCCAGGGCCUGGUGAAUAAUAGGUCCUUAAGAAUACUUAUCGAGUGAAUUGACUCUAACAAUCUUUUGGACUUGCGUAACAUGUUUUCCAAAGCUUCUAAGGAACUUACUCCUUUUUGCUAGUGUUGAGGCAAUAUACUGGAGAAGAAAAAUGUCUCUAUUUUAUGGGGUGGCAGAUGGCAUUUAACAGGUGCUCAAAUAUUUUAUAAAUAAAUAAAAGGAGGAAACAUGAAUAAAUGAAGUCAGCAGAGACACACAGUGGAAAUACACCGGGCUCCUGACCCCACGGUAGAGAGAUGGAAAUUAAACUCUUCUUGUUUCUUCUUCAAGGAGUAAUAUAUGUCAAGAACGAAGCGACUCAGAUGAUGGAAGGGUGGAGCAGGGAUUGAAGAUUCAGGAUGAAUUAAAGAGGCAGGCACUCCGUGCACGGAAACUGAGGAUGGGGACCUGCUACUCCUGGAGUGACAUCCCUGCUUUCCAAGCAAUGUGUUGGGUUGUGAAGAAGCAUGAGACAUAAUCCCUGGCCCCGAGAACCUUUCAGCCUGGUGGGGAAAGCAGCUUGGUACUUGCUACGUUGAUUACCUAGACCUGAGCACAUCUGAGGGAAAUGUUCUGCCUUUCUUUCAAAAUCCCAUUUAUUUUGUUCUUUAUGAGGAUCUAAAUGUGAAAUUCCAUAUGGAAAAAAAAAUCCUGAUGAUGUAAAGAAGGAAUCAUGUUGAUAAUCUACAUGAUGGGUACAUGAGGGCUCAUGAAGAAAUAACGAUUGCAAGACAUCUCUGUAACAAAAUGUUUUAAAUGAUCAUCUUGAGCUAAGCUUCACAACCUCUUCUCAGAAUGUAGCAGGGCCAUCAUAAAGAACUAAGUUCAGAUAUUAAGGUAUCAUUAGAAAUCUGUCUUGCACCAGCUGGGGAAAAACAACAACAACAACUUGUUGGGUCAUUUUAAGCCUGACUUUUGUGAUGGUGCAAUGGGCAUUGUCCGCAUUUUCCACUCUUGCAUUGCAUACUAGUCAAGACAAUAUAACCAUAUUUUCAGAAGCACUCAAGGUAGCCAGAAUUUUUAAAAAGAACUGUUAAUCACCCUAAAGAAAUUGCAAUCAUUAAUUAGUAAAGAAAGAUCACAGUAAUGAAAUUAUCAUAAAAUUUAAAGAGCAUGAAAAGAACUUCAAAAACAUAUUUUAUAUAUUUGAAGUGUAAUAAUGAUUUCCUAAUAAAACCUAAAGCUCUCUCAA